AGUAUAAGCACGCCGCGCGUUUGCAUACGGCCUUGUCGGCUGGCUAGAUAUUUAUUUCGUCCGGCCCCAUAUAACGUUUGCCCUCGGCCGUCGUCGAGGAGAGCGGGCCUGCGUACGUCCUCCGCUACCCUCGGGCCGUGCGUGGCCGUGGAUCGGAUGGACGAUCAUCUGGCGGUGCUGGCGCGCGGCGAGGGGUGGACGGAGGAGCGGCACGCGGCGUUCCUCGACGGCGUCGAGCGCUCCUUCGUGCAGGAGGUGCUCGUGGGCGCCGCCGGCGUCAGCGAGGAGCGGCGGGCGUCGCGCAGGCUCUGCCACCGGGGGCCGCCGCCCGCCGGCGGCCGCGGCCAGCUCCCGCUGGAUCGCCCCCUCCCCGACAGCGCCGUGGAGUCCAACCGCCGGGGACCCUCCCGGCCCGCAGCCCGCGACGCCAAAUGACGCAGGUUGGUCGAUUUAUGGCUACGAUCAUUCUUUCCUUCCGCAGCAAGCACGCCGGUCAUACAACUCCACCGCAAAGAACGUCAACACGUCUCUCAUCCACACAGCUGUACUCGUUGCACGUAACGUUCAGUACAAUGGUUGCGUCUCAUGAAUCUGAAGUUAACAAGCUAGCUAGAGUGAUAAAUUUCCUUCUAGAACCGUAGCCUCCAAAGUCCAAAGUUGUAUGCGUCGCAGUGGAAGUGAUGUUUUCCAGAUCUGUGCAGUUAUGCCGAUAUUUGUCUUUGUCAAUGUGCCUUUCAUGGCGGGGCAUGGUGUGUAUGUUGGUGAUGCACUAGUUCAUCAUUUAUCUUAAGGAGCUCUCUUCAUAAAA
This is an RNA transcript of Triticum aestivum (bread wheat), 808 nucleotides long. RefSeq lists it as uncharacterized. The transcript has 2 exons. The record is from RefSeq and is a predicted model, not a curated record. NCBI's taxonomy places the organism in Eukaryota, Viridiplantae, Streptophyta, Magnoliopsida, Poales, Poaceae.